CCUAUCAGGUCUACCCUCAAUUUCCUAUCUGCUAUCUCCACGGCACAUGCCCUGUAGAUAACCUCUCCUAGCAAUGUCUCCCCCCCAGCGGUAGAUACAAGCAACAAUGAAUCAAGUCUAUCAGGUGAUACACAAAUUUUGGAAGCAAGAACAUGUGAAACAAAAGAAUGUGAUGCACCAGUGUCAAACAAAACAUGAGCAAUGUGGCCAGAGAUAAUAUACAUACCAUGUACCACGUCCGGGUCUGCGUCGGCAUCCUUCUGGGUAAGGUUGUAAACUCUGCCCUGGAUUGGAGGCCUUCUUUGAUUCUGGUUCCUCGGGCAUUCCCUUGCAUAGUGCUGGGCACUGCCGCAUAUGCGACAAGUGUUGCUGAGGUGGUAGCAGGGUCGGUCCCCGUGAUCCCUGCCGCAGUGCUGGCAGAUCUUCCCACGUGCUGCCCCCGUAGCCUGAGGAGGGGCCUGGAUGGCGGGUCUGGGCCUCUUACUGGGUUGGACAGGCGCGGUAGGUGCUGGCCUGCGGAGCGGGGCUGAGGGUCGGGAACUCCCCGCUAGCUGAGGGUGGGUGUCGAAGCUCCUUUCUAUGAUCUACGCCUUUGCUAGGACUGCUGAAUAUGUCUCGAGCUCCAUUACCAGUAAGUGCUGUCUGAUCUCCGGGCGGAGACCCCACUAGAAUUUCCUGGCCUUUCGGCCCUCAUCCAUCAAUGUCUCCGGGGCAUAUCGGCCCAGCUCCAGGAACUUACGGGCAUACUCUGACACUGUCAUGUUUCCCUGGACCAAUUGAGCAAACUCCAUUUCCUUCAGGUGUUGGAUGUGUUUAGGGAGAUACUCCGCGUGGAAGGCCGCUAAGAACUGCUCCCAAGUAGCUGGUGUAGGCAGG
RNAcentral lists this long non-coding RNA (876 nucleotides) under Carica papaya (papaya). Its description in RNAcentral is "long non-coding RNA (CPAP_LNC011160)". Lineage: Eukaryota; Viridiplantae; Streptophyta; Magnoliopsida; Brassicales; Caricaceae. The record is from RNAcentral.